Molecule: RNA transcript, 3997 nt
Organism: Anguilla rostrata (American eel)
Lineage: Eukaryota; Metazoa; Chordata; Actinopteri; Anguilliformes; Anguillidae
Gene name: meiotic recombination protein REC8 homolog
Exons: 12
Source: RefSeq, a predicted model, not a curated record
AUGUCCUGCCAUAUAUUUAAUUAUAUUAGGCUACUUUUACAUAAGCGGUUCACCAGCUGACCAAGCCUAGUCAGAAGUCCACCAAUUUGACCACCAGCUUAGGCCUACUCUAGGCCUGCCAACGUCACCAGCUUUAACCAGCUUUGUCCAACUAGAGACCAGCUAUGGCCAGGUAGAAGUGUCGAAAACACGGUUUAAGCCAUUCUAAACCAUCUUUAAAUCCAAGCGGGUUUUAGCUGGAAUUUUCAGCAGGACUACAGAAAUGGUUUCAUGGGUGGAGGUCAGCCUAUCUGUUUUCAAACCGCGUCACAACCACAUCGCAACACAUGCAGACUAAUAGGCUAUUUUACCAUCAAUUACAGCAAAGAUCAGACCGAGCGUGCCCAGGACCAUGCAGGAAGUCUCCAUUUUUGUACUCCGAACCUUCCGUAGACGUGUAGCUACCAGCGUUUUUCGUUCAGUCCCUCACUUUGCCUGGGUCCAGACGUUUGAAUCCUGCCCACUGCAGAUUCAGAUGGAAAUGGAGUGUAACGAGUUGAUAAUUUUGUCUGAUAUCAGGCACUGGGAACGAGUGGCUUAUUCCAACCAGUCGCUUGCACGGUUUCUUAUUUCGAUUUCCCUGAAACGAAAACGAAACUGUCGCUAGAGAAAGCCAGUGGAAUGAUGGAAGACCGAGAUGUUUGUAGUGUUUCGCCCUUUGAAAUUCUUAGACGCUUAAAUUGGCGUUAUUGGUCAGUUUGUUUCCACAGCAUAAAUUAAACUGUUGAUUGGUCAGAAGUAAUGGGAGGGGACAGUGUUAUCUAAAAUAAGGGUAGCCUAUAUCGAUUGUUCCAAGGAAGGACAAAGUUAUAUAGCCCGCAAUUUUCUGUGUAUGAAAAUUACUAGGCAUAGCUAGACCUAUUACCACAGAUAAUGCGCAUUUAUGGAAAUUCACGCUUGACUUUUAAUUAGGCUACUGUAUUGAUAAGCUGAUCCACUGUACUCUCUAUUUCUACUUCUAUCGAGGGAAACAUUAGCUCUGAGCAAUUAUUAAUAACAGACGAUGUUUUACUAUCCAAACGUUUUACAAUACCGCACAGGCUGUUUCUCUACUGUAUGGUUGGCAGCUACAAAAGCUAUCAAAAUUUCUCGGAGAGACUAUCUCAAAGUCAACGUUCAACGCACAUGCGAUGACAUCAUGGAUUACGUGCUGGUGCGGGCCCCGCCUCUCCAGCCGGGACUUCCCCGCCCCCGUUUCUCCCUCUACCUGUCCUUCCAGCUGCAGUAUGGCGUCAUCAUCGUCUACCACCGCCAAUGUGCCCUUUUACUGGAGGAGAUCCAGCACACCAUAGACAGACUGCUGCGCUCCGCCAAGACGCUCAAAAUUGACCUGGUGGAGCCCGACAGGCCGGCCCUAACUGUUCCUGAUGGUCUGUCCAUGUUGGAGGAAUGUGAGAGGGCCCAGGACCCCUUCUUUGGAGUGAUGGAGUACGCGAUGCCCAGCCCCAGUACGAUCAUGCAGCAGUGGCAGGUACCUGAAGAAACAUCCCCCCAGCGCCCCCUGGUGGAAAGACUUGGAACACCACAGAGGGACCGCAUCACUGCAUCCCCUGAGUCUAUCACUCUGGUAGACAGGGAGCUCGUUGUUACUCCUGCAGCAGAGUUUGAAGGGGCGGACCUGCCAGAGGUCACGCCCAGGCAUAUGGACAUAAUUGACAUGCUGAUGGAGCAGCAGGACCAGUUUCCUGAAGAAGUGGAGGAGAGAGAGGAAGUGAGGGAGGCAGAGAUAUCGAGGGAACAGCAGCAGGCGGCAGUCUCCGCGUUGCAGCUGGGGGUCACCGCGGUGACUGCCGAGGAUCUCACCUUGCUGCCGGAGAGGGAGGCGGAGACGCCUGCGCCGGCCCCGCCCUCGACCCCGCCCCUGCCCCCGCCCCCGCUGGAGACCACCCCGGUGUCUGUCAUUCCACUGCCCUCGUCCCCUGAGGGAGAGAGGGAGGGGGAGACGGAGGAGAGACGGAGGCGGAAGGAGAGAGGGAGGGACAGUCCUGGUCUGGAGCCAGAGCCCGCAGCUCCACCAAAGAAACCGCGGCGGCGGCGGCAGCUGCUCUUCAUCGACGAGCAGACUCAGAUUCCCUCAGAGGAGCUGCAGGAGGCGAUACAGGAUCCACUGACUGAGACCCAGACCCUGGUACCACACUGACCCUCUCAGACCCAGGCCCUGGUACCACACUGACCCUCUCAGACCCAGGCCCUGGUACCACACUGACCCGCUCAGACCCAGGCCCUGGUACCACACUGACCCUCUCAGACCCAGGCCCUGGUACCACACUGACCCGCUCAGACCCAGACCCUGGUACCACAGUGACACACUCAGACCCAGGCCCUGGUACCACACUGACCCUCUCAGACCCAGGCCCUGGUACCACACUGACCCUCUCAGACCCAGGCCCUGGUACCACACUGACCCUCUCAGACCCAGGCCCUGGUACCACACUGACCCGCUCAGACCCAGGCCCUGGUACCACACUGACCCUCUCAGACCCAGGCCCUGCUACCACACUGACACACUCAGACCCAGGCCCUGGUACCACACUGACCCACUCAGACCCAGGCCCUGGUACCAGGGUUCGUACGGUCAUGAAAAACCUGGAAAAGUCAUUGAAAUUUAAAAUGCAAUUUCCAGGCCCUGGAAAAGUUAUGGAAAAUAAUAUUUUUUGAAAAGUUUUGGAAAAGUAAUGGAAACACAGCUAAAGUUGCAUCAAAUAUAAUUACUAAUGAAUCCAAUCAUACAAAUAGUAUGUAUAGUAAUAAAACGUAAAUUGGCACGUAACCUUCGCGGUAUUUUGGUGGUGUGAGAAGUUAAUUCGGUCUGGCUCAGUCUGUUUACAGGCACGCUUCUGCUAAUGUAGCAGUUAGUAAACGUAGGCCCUACUGUGCCGACAAUAUGCCAGGGAAGUGCAGCUUCAAUAAUAUAUCAGGGCUCGAAAUUAACUUUUUUACUUCGUAGCACUGGUGCUCGCAACUUCAAAAAGUUUGGAGCACCCACCAAAAAUAUAAGGAGCACCAACAAUAUAUGCAAUAGAUUGUUUUGAUUGAUAAAAAACGACAAUAUAACAGUACGGUUUACAAGUAACAGUUAAACUGUCACGCCUAAAAUGUGUCGACUCUUCAAGGAAUUGCGUGUUAUGCAUUCAAACGACAAAGCGCUUCUGGUCACAUUAAUACCGCUAAUUAAAUCAAUCGCCAGUAAACUGCAUCGGAGAAAUUAGCUGUUUCAACCGGGUCGCUUCACAAAACAGUAGCCUACGUUAACGUUUCAAAAAAAAAUGCCGUAAUCGUUCGCUUCAGCUUUUCAGCUUUCGAUAACGCUAAUAAAUUGAACAUAAACUUUUGUCUUCAGGUAACAUUAGUUACCGCGUUAGCUCUCUGUGUCGCGUGACAGUGGAGUGAUCGAAGGCUAAUAUUAACCAAUUUAAAAUCAGCAUUAAAGGUAAGAAUGUCAAGCUCACGAUUGGUUAGAAGGGUCAACUUCUAUGGAAAUUCAGGUAAAGGUUGAGGAGAAGUCAUGGAAAAGUCAUUGAAAAUCAUUGGUGAAAAAGUGUAUGAACCCUGUGGUACCACACUGACCGGCUCAGACCCAGUCCCUGGUACUACACUGACACACACUGACAGGCCCUGCUACCACACCGCAUGAUUAGACUAAAAUACACACUAAUACAGUGAUGGAUUUAUGCAAGCACAAAUUCACAUAUGACACAGUUAAUGACAUUCUGGAGGAUAUACAUCAGAUCACAUGAUUACUGGCAUGCAUGAUAGAUCUCAGUCUCACUCUCUGAAACCAAGCUGUGUAUGCGUGUGCAUGUGUGUGUGUGUGUGUGUGUGUGUGUGUGUAUGUGUCAGGAGUUGUUUGAGCCUCCCUCCAGAAGAAGUGUCUCUCCUGUGGAGCUCCUGAGCAAUCCCUGCACUGGUUGCCAGAGAGUUAGUGGAGUCAGAACGGCCUCAGCCUGAAGCGUCAGGU